Molecule: ribosomal RNA, 572 nt
Filed under: uncultured bacterium
Lineage: Bacteria
Description: bacterial SSU rRNA
Rfam family: Bacterial small subunit ribosomal RNA
Source: RNAcentral
GAACUUGCCUCUUGGACUGGGACAACUGUUGGAAACGACAGCUAAUACCGGAUAUUAUGAGAUUCUCGCAUGAGAAACUUAUGAAAGCUAUAUGCGCCAAGAGAGAGCCUUGCGUUCCAUUAGCUAGUUGGUGGGGUAACGGCCCACCAAGGCGACGAUGGAUAGCCGGCCUGAGAGGGUGAACGGCCACAAGGGGACUGAGACACGGCCCUUACUCCUACGGGAGGCAGCAGUGGGGAAUAUUGGACAAUGGGCCACAAGCCUGAUCCAGCAAUUCUGUGUGCACGAUGAAGGUCUUCGGAUUGUAAAGUGCUUUCAGUUGGGAAGAAGAAAGUGACGGUACCAACAGAAGAAGCGACGGCUAAAUACGUGCCAGCAGCCGCGGUAAUACGUAUGUCGCAAGCGUUAUCCGGAUUUAUUGGGCGUAAAGCGCGUCUAGGCGGAAAAAUAAGUCUGAUGUUAAAAUGCGGGGCUCAACUCCGUAUUGCGUUUGGAAACUGUUUUUCUAGAGUACUGGAGAGGUGGGCGGAACUACAAGUGUAGAGGUGAAAUUCGUAGAUAUUUUGUAGGAA